GGCACAGCAUCGACUCCCUCUAAUACUAUGGAGCAGGAUGGCCACAAACUGGGCCAAAGUGUAGGACUUUCUAAGCGAUUUUAACUCAUUACAGACCAAUAUCUAAUCGAUCAGUUAAAUGACAUUAUUGUUGCUCUUGAUGAGAAGCAACGUCAUGCAUCAGUUUUUAUUGAUCCGUCGAAAGUGUUUGACACCGCUGACCGUAAUAUUUUAAAAAACUUCGACUCCUCUGUUAACAAAUUAUCUCAGUAAUAAGCCUCAAGGGGGCGCCACAGGGUUCUGUAUUAGGUCCUCUUUUGAAUUCUGCUCUCUACCAGAAAAACCUGAAGGAGAACCUUCGGCCAUCAGUUCGUGACCUCAAGCUGAAGAGCACUUGGGUUCCGCAGUAGAACAACGAUCUGCGAUCCUCCAGGUUCGUCUCCUCGGGUCGGUCGGGUUUCAUUCCUCCAGGUUCAUCUCCUCAAGUCGGCCAGGUUUCAUUCCUCCAGGUUCGUCUCCUCAGGUCGGCCAAGUUUCAUUCCUCCAGGUUCGUCUCCUCAGGUCGGCCAAGUUUCAUUCCUCCAGGUUCGUCUCCUCAGGUCGGCCAGGUUUCAUUCCUCCAGGUUCAUCCCCUCUGGUCGGUCGGGUUUCAUUCCUCCUAGUUUGUCCACUCAGGUCGGCCAGGUUUCAGUCUUCCUGGUUCGUCCACUCAGGUCGGCCGGGUUUCAUUCUUCUUGGUUUGUCCACUCGGGUUGGCCUGGUUUCGUUCCUCCAGGUUCAUCUCCUCAGGUUGGCCUAGUUUCAUUCCUCCUAGUUUGUCCACUCGGGUUAGCCAAGUUUCAUUCCUCCAGGUUGGUCUCCUCAAGUCAGCAGGGUUUCAUUCCUCCAGAAAAUCCUGAAGGAGAAUGUUUGGCCAUCAGUUCGUGAUCUCAAGCUGAAGAGCACCUGGGUUCUACAGCAGAACAACGAUCCAAAACACACCAGCAAGUCGACGUCUGAAUGGCUUAAAAAAAAA
Molecule: long non-coding RNA, 994 nt
Organism: Amphiprion ocellaris (clown anemonefish)
Lineage: Eukaryota; Metazoa; Chordata; Actinopteri; Pomacentridae
Source: Ensembl